UCUAGGGAGGCAGCAGUUGGGCGAAAGCCUGAUCCAGCCAUGCCGCGUGAGUGAUGAAGGCCCUAGGGUUGUAAAGCUCUUUCAACGGUGAAGAUAAUGACGGUAACCGUAGAAGAAGCCCCGGCUAACUUCGUGCCAGCAGCCGCGGUAAUACGAAGGGGGCUAGCGUUGUUCGGAAUUACUGGGCGUAAAGCGCACGUAGGCGGAUUGUUAAGUUAGGGGUGAAAUCCCAGGGCUCAACCCUGGAACUGCCUUUAAUACUGGCAAUCUCGAGUCCGAGAGAGGUGAGUGGAAUUCCGAGUGUAGAGGUGAAAUUCGUAGAUAUUCGGAGGAACACCAGUGGCGAAGGCGGCUCACUGGCUCGGUAUCGA
This 371-nucleotide ribosomal RNA is filed under the name Mesorhizobium sp. Sm7. RNAcentral's name for it is "bacterial SSU rRNA". It matches the Rfam family "Bacterial small subunit ribosomal RNA", at positions 354 to 743 of the family's 1533-position model. Lineage: Bacteria; Pseudomonadati; Pseudomonadota; Alphaproteobacteria; Hyphomicrobiales; Phyllobacteriaceae. The record is from RNAcentral.